GCUGGACAUGGUGGCGCAUGCCUGUAAUCCCAGCAGCUUGGGAGGCUGAGACAAGAGGAUCACGAAUUCAAAGCCGGCCUCAGCAAAAGCAAGGUGCUAAGCAACUCAGUGAGACCCUGUCCU
RNAcentral lists this small RNA (123 nucleotides) under Marmota monax (woodchuck). The record is from RNAcentral. Lineage: Eukaryota; Metazoa; Chordata; Mammalia; Rodentia; Sciuridae.